RNAcentral lists this long non-coding RNA (1153 nucleotides) under Triticum aestivum (bread wheat). RNAcentral's name for it is "long non-coding RNA (TAES_LNC007720)". The record is from RNAcentral. Lineage: Eukaryota; Viridiplantae; Streptophyta; Magnoliopsida; Poales; Poaceae.
GGUCGGAGAGAUGUGGGCAUUAAGAGGAGCUCAACGGAGCUGCCCCGUCGUGCUCGCCACCAGCAAACUCCAGUCGGUUGGGGCAGUAGUAGUCGCCGGCGCCGAUGAGGCGCAAGGUGUAUUUAUUCGUCCCCCUGCAGUCCCCGCUCUGUCCAAUUUUUUGUUCUAUGUGUCUGCCCUCCUUCGUGCUUGAUUCAGUUCGUCGUGAUUCUCGCCGGCGCCGGUGGUUUAGUUCGUUGGCUUUUGGCAGGAAUGUUUUGCGGUAGCUUAGUUCAACCAUGGAGAUUUUUUUAGUGAUUCAUCAGAAUUCAGAAACGCGCCCUGGAUUUGUUGCAGCCACCUCUUCCGCGUGUGUCAUCCUAUCCCCAAAAUAUCCCUCACCAAGUGCAUGUUGUCUUGGAUGUAGAUGUCUAUUUUUGUUUCUACGAAGUGUUGAGUGUCAAUUUUUCAUUUACUAAGUAGGUGGUGUGGGGAGUAGGUACAUGUAUACAUUUUCUGGCAUAAACUGUUUAGGUGGCAGUCCUAAACUGAAAUUAUGAAGUUUAGUUCAUAUUCUUGGAGGUAUACAAGCAGUGCGGCAUGUCACUCGCAACUCAUGUUUAUUUCAGUCAUUCUCAAGCAAGUGGAUGUGAUCUAGUUUUGGUACUAGAUUAUUAAGUUUUUUAAGCAUGUUCUGUAGAUUAUAAAGAUUCAGUUAAUUUUACGCAGGUCGGCAUGCCGGAGACGGCACCAUUCUCUCACUGCGGUAGCAUCCAUUACCCGACGACGACGUGGAUUUAGGACAGUUAUACGUUUAUGGAGCCUCGUGUGAGCAAUAAUCCAAAAACUACAGGGAUGUUGACAGCUCAAACCUCGGCCAACAUGGUCGGUCGGAACCAUCAUGAGCUAGCAGGCAGCCGAGGUCUGCACAGGCUUGCUAUGGCCAAAAACGUUAGAUGUGGCUAAUGCGCGUAGGCGAAGGGUUUCUUUCUGUUAUGCGGCGUCGUAGAUAAGUACAGCGGCUAGCAAUGAUUUAUUCAGUGUGAAGAGGCAUUAUGACAGCGGCUGGUAGAUGAACUUCAGUGACAGCAAUGCACGUAAAUCAAGUGUUUUUGUAUCGUGUUAUUAAGGAGAACAGCUACCAAGAAUGCAUUCAGGCUAUUAGUUUACAACU